RNAcentral lists this ribosomal RNA (497 nucleotides) under uncultured bacterium. RNAcentral describes it as "partial 16S ribosomal RNA". It matches the Rfam family "Bacterial small subunit ribosomal RNA", at positions 28 to 507 of the family's 1533-position model. The record is from RNAcentral.
GAUGAACGCUGGCGGCGUGCCUAAUACAUGCAAGUCGAGCGAACGGACGAGAAGCUUGCUUUUCUGAUGUUAGCGGCGGACGGGUGAGUAACACGUGGAUAACCUACCUAUAAGACUGGGAUCACUUCGGGAAACCGGCGCUAAUCCCGGAUAAUAUUUUGAACCGCAUGGUUCAAUAGUGAAAGUCGGUCUUGCUGUAUCUUAUAGAUGGAUCCGCGCUGCAUUAGCUAGUUGGUACGGUAAAGGCCUACGACGGCAACGAUGCAUAGCCGACGUGUGAGGGGGGUAGGCCGCACGGGAACGGAGACACGGACAAUAGUCCUACGGGAGGCAGCAGUAGGGAAUCGGCCGCAGUGGUCGAAAGUCUUACGGAGCAACGGCGAGUGAGUUGUGAAGGUCUUGGGAGCGGAAAACUCGGUUAUGAGUUAAGAACAGAUUUGGAAGUAACUGAGCAGAGCGUGACGGUAACGAAUCAGAAAGCAACGGCUAACUACGUG